ACACGACUACAUUAGAUACCCGGGUAGUCCUAGCCGUAAACGAUACUCGCUAGGUGUCGGCCACGGUGCGACCGUUGUCGGUGCCGUAGGGAAGCCGUGAAGCGAGCCACCUGGGAAGUACGGCCGCAAGGCUGAAACUUAAAGGAAUUGGCGGGGGAGCACGACAACGGGUGGAGCUUGCGGUUUAAUUGGAUUCAACGCCGGAAAUCUUACCGGGACCGACAGCAACAUGAAGGCCAAGCUGAAGACUUUGCCGGAUUAGCUG
This 265-nucleotide ribosomal RNA is filed under the name uncultured archaeon. RNAcentral's name for it is "partial 16S ribosomal RNA". It matches the Rfam family "Archaeal small subunit ribosomal RNA", at positions 717 to 982 of the family's 1478-position model. The record is from RNAcentral.